Alternaria postmessia is the source of this 149-nucleotide non-coding RNA. The record is from the annotation of a RefSeq genome assembly. NCBI's taxonomy places the organism in Eukaryota, Fungi, Ascomycota, Dothideomycetes, Pleosporales, Pleosporaceae.
GGCCUGAUGGUCUAGUGGUAUGAUUCCUGCUUUGGGUUGACAUUGUCACAUCGCCUAUUCUGCAGGAGGCCCCGGGUGUAAGUUCAUCCAUCACGGUUCGACAUCGAACGCUUUACUAAUAAGCGUGCAGUCGAAUCCCGGUCAGGCCC